GGGGAAACGAUAGUUGGAAGCUUGCGUUCCGAGUGGGCGUCGACCGGCGCACGGGUGAGUAACGCGUAUCCAACUUCCCGCAAGUAAGGGAUAACCCGUAGAAAUGCGGCCUAAUACCUUAUGUUUUCCUUAGAGGGCAUCUGAUGAGGAACAAAGAUCCGUCGCUUGCGGAUGGGGAUGCGUCUGAUUAGUUAGUCGGCGGGGUAACGGCCCACCGAGACGACGAUCAGUAGGGGUUCUGAGAGGAAAGUCCCCCACAUUGGAACUGAGACACGGUCCAAACUCCUACGGGAGGCAGCAGUGAGGAAUAUUGGUCAAUGGGCGAGAGCCUGAACCAGCCAAGUAGCGUGCAGGAUGACGGCCCUAUGGGUUGUAAACUGCUUUUAUAAGGGAAUAAAGUGGGUCACGUGUGACUUUUUGCAUGUACCUUAUGAAUAAGGACCGGCUAAUUCCGUG
This 456-nucleotide ribosomal RNA is filed under the name uncultured bacterium. Its description in RNAcentral is "bacterial SSU rRNA". It matches the Rfam family "Bacterial small subunit ribosomal RNA", at positions 65 to 507 of the family's 1533-position model. The record is from RNAcentral.